Molecule: transfer RNA, 86 nt
Organism: Hebeloma cylindrosporum
Lineage: Eukaryota; Fungi; Basidiomycota; Agaricomycetes; Agaricales; Hymenogastraceae
Rfam family: tRNA
About the family: Transfer RNA (tRNA) molecules are approximately 80 nucleotides in length. Their secondary structure includes four short double-helical elements and three loops (D, anti-codon, and T loops). Further hydrogen bonds mediate the characteristic L-shaped molecular structure. tRNAs have two regions of fundamental functional importance: the anti-codon, which is responsible for specific mRNA codon recognition, and the 3' end, to which the tRNAs corresponding amino acid is attached (by aminoacyl-tRNA synthetases). tRNAs cope with the degeneracy of the genetic code in two manners: having more than one tRNA (with a specific anti-codon) for a particular amino acid; and 'wobble' base-pairing, i.e. permitting non-standard base-pairing at the 3rd anti-codon position.
Source: Rfam
GGGCACAUGGUGUAGUUGGUUAUCACGCUCGCUUAGCAUCUUCAAGUGUCUGCGAGAGGUGUUGGGUUCAAUUCCCAAUGUGUCCA